Long non-coding RNA from Lycium barbarum (goji berry), 849 nucleotides. RefSeq lists it as uncharacterized. The record is from RefSeq and is a predicted model, not a curated record. Lineage: Eukaryota; Viridiplantae; Streptophyta; Magnoliopsida; Solanales; Solanaceae. The transcript has 2 exons.
UGCUGAAACUAACACUGUUAAGCUUCUGUCUUUGUAGGGACUAAAAUCACACAAAAUAUAUUAAUUGAAGGUUGAAAUUGCUAAGUUGGAAUAACUUAAGGACUAAAAUCGGAAUUAAGCAAUAACACAGGGACCAAAAAUGCUAUUUCCCCUACUAAAAAUAAUGAACCAUUUCUGUCAUUUUCUCGUACAAUUUUUGGAAAUAGCGAGUAAAUACAAGGACACAAACGUAAAACGAGGACACACAAUAGGGUACUACAAAAUAACCUAAUUGUGCUGAAAAGAAAAUCUCAUGAACUCUUAGACGGAAAGAACGAGGCAAAGAGAGAGGUAUUUGGGGAGUCUUUAAUGGUGGUUGCCCUCUCUCUCUUUGCCUAUGAUUUCCCUUUUCCCAUUUUGCUCAGAAGAAAACGAAAUAAUAAACCGCCAUUGAAGAGUCUGUUUGGUUAAGCUGUUGUUCUGAAACUUUCGAUGAAAAUUGCAAGUUUCUACAGUAAAGCUUAUACUGUCGGGAGAGAAGUGGCCAAGCUCAAAAAGGAUUCUUACAAUGUGAAGCACAAGUUUGCAAGCAAUGUGAAAAACAACUGAAGUGAUGUGAAGCUUUUAGAUUAAUCUAGGCAAUUUUUUGUGAUGGUAUCAUGCAAAUGUCAAAUGGAGCUUCUACUUUGCUCUGUUAGAUUGUAGAAAUCAUUGCUGUACGACAUGUGUUUUCUAGAUGUUCAUGAGCCGAAAAUCUUUCCCUUCUCUUUGUUUGUUCAUCUCGCCAUCUUUAAUGUGUGAAAGACUUGUGGCAAAUAGCUGAAUUGCUUACAUACUAUUAUGCUUCUCCGAAGCAAGAUUAGUACACUA